Molecule: ribosomal RNA, 500 nt
Filed under: uncultured bacterium
Lineage: Bacteria
Description: partial 16S ribosomal RNA
Rfam family: Bacterial small subunit ribosomal RNA
Source: RNAcentral
AUUGAACGCUGGCGGCAGGCCUAACACAUGCAAGUCGAGCGGUAGAGAGAAGCUUGCUUCUCUUGAGAGCGGCGGACGGGUGAGUAAUGCCUAGGAAUCUGCCUGGUAGUGGGGGCUAACGUUCGGAAACGGACGCUAAUACCGCAUACGUUCUACGGGAGAAAGCAGAGGACCUUCGGGCCUUGCUCUAUCAGAUGAGCCUAGGUCGGAUUAGCUAGUUGGUGGGGUAAUGGCUCACCAAGGCGACGAUCCGUAACUGGUCUGAGAGGAUGAUCAGUCACACUGGAACUGAGACACGGUCCAGACUCCUACGGGAGGCAGCAGUGGGGAAUAUUGGACAAUGGGCGAAAGCCUGAUCCAGCCAUGCCGCGUGUGUGAAGAAGGUCUUCGGAUUGUAAAGCACUUUAAGUUGGGAGGAAGGGCAGUAAAUUAAUACUUUGCUGUUUUGACGUUACCGACAGAAUAAGCACCGGCUAACUCUGUGCCAGCCGCCGCCGUAA